UACGGGGGGGGCAAGCGUUGUUCGGAAUUACUGGGCGUAAAGGGCUCGUAGGUGGCCGACUAAGUCAGACGUGAAAUCCCUCGGCUUAACCGGGGACCUGCGUCUGAUACUGGACGGCUUGAGUUCGGGAGAGGGAUGCGGAAUUCCAGGUGUAGCGGUGAAAUGCGUAGAUAUCUGGAGGAACACCGGUGGCGAAGGCGGCAUCCUGGACCGACACUGACACUGAGGAGCGAAAGCCAGGGGAGCAAACGGG
RNAcentral lists this ribosomal RNA (253 nucleotides) under uncultured bacterium. RNAcentral describes it as "partial 16S ribosomal RNA". It matches the Rfam family "Bacterial small subunit ribosomal RNA", at positions 524 to 776 of the family's 1533-position model. The record is from RNAcentral.